RNAcentral lists this microRNA precursor (61 nucleotides) under Panagrellus redivivus. Its description in RNAcentral is "microRNA prd-mir-7930 precursor". Lineage: Eukaryota; Metazoa; Nematoda; Chromadorea; Rhabditida; Panagrolaimidae. The record is from miRBase by way of RNAcentral.
CUACUAUGCCUUCACCCUUUUGCGUUAGUGUAAAACCGCAAAGGAUGUUGGUAGAGUAUUG